GUUAAAUCACUCUUUCAUGAAAGAUAACAUCUCCUCAUGUGAUGACCAUCAUAUCAGUGGUCUAUCUUACGUGAACUCUGAAUGGCAGGAAUAGAAGCAGAGUGCUCCCUCUUGAAUACCACCAGAAAACAGAACAUCUACCAACCAGCAGAUAGCCUCUGCCACCGUCCCUGCUGUGUACUAACAAACAGAGCAUCUUGUGCUGCCUACUAUCAAAC
Non-coding RNA from Pelobates cultripes (western spadefoot toad), 218 nucleotides. The record is from the annotation of a GenBank genome assembly. NCBI's taxonomy places the organism in Eukaryota, Metazoa, Chordata, Amphibia, Anura, Pelobatidae.